CCUACGGGUGGCUGCAGUGGGGAAUAUUGCACAAUGGGGGAAACCCUGAUGCAGCGACGCCGCGUGAGUGAAGACGUAUUUCGGUAUGUAAAGCUCUAUCAGCAGGGAAGAAAUAGCGACCUUUGGGUCGCCAGACGGUACCUGAUUAAGAAGCCCCGGCGAAAUACGGGCCAGCAGCCGCGGUAAUACGUAGGGGGCAAGCGUUAUCCGGAUUUACUGGGUGUAAAGGGAGCGUAGACGGCAGCGCAAGUCUGAAGUGAAAAGCCGGGGCUUAACCCCGGAACUGCUUUGGAAACUGUGCGGCUAGAGUGCAGGAGAGGUAAGUGGAAUUCCUAGUGUAGCGGUGAAAUGCGUAGAUAUUAGGAGGAACACCAGUGGCGAAGGCGGCUUACUGGACUGUAACUGACGUUGAGGCUCGAAAGCGUGGGGAGCAAACAGGAUUAGAUACCCGAGUAGUC
RNAcentral lists this ribosomal RNA (458 nucleotides) under uncultured bacterium. RNAcentral describes it as "partial 16S ribosomal RNA". It matches the Rfam family "Bacterial small subunit ribosomal RNA", at positions 338 to 795 of the family's 1533-position model. The record is from RNAcentral.